This 2255-nucleotide non-coding RNA is filed under the name Brassica napus (rape). RNAcentral describes it as "Eukaryotic small subunit ribosomal RNA". The stretch from base 1056 to 2255 matches the Rfam family "Eukaryotic small subunit ribosomal RNA". The record is from Rfam by way of RNAcentral. Lineage: Eukaryota; Viridiplantae; Streptophyta; Magnoliopsida; Brassicales; Brassicaceae.
GGUCGCUCGGUCGCUACGUAGCGACCGAGCUUUGGCUCAGGUUUGGUUGCAGCAUAGCGAUCGGACGGCGUGUAUACGUGGUGACCGAGCUUGGUUUGUUCGGUUUGAAUCCCAAAGGAUACUUUUUCGUAAAAACUUCGUAUUGGUUACUUUUACGAAAAUUACAUCUCUUCUUUUACUAUCUCUUUCGGAAAUACGAUCUCCGAGGAUUUUCGGGUGGUAAUUCCGUCGUAACCGUUUUUGACCCCAACACUCUCUACGUUUUUUCUCUGAGUAUUUUACUUUGGAAUUGGAUAAUUAAAUCGACCAGAGAGCCCCCAUAUUUAUAGAAAACGAGGGGGUAAGUCUUGCCCCAUGAACAGGCAUGACUUGCUAGCGAAUGGGCACCAUCGGCCAAGGGUUGUCCCCUUUCGGCCACUUGCAUCCCUUCGCCCUUUCUCAUUGGGUUUGGGGUCGGUCACAAGCCCAACCCACGCCCCAAGCCUCCUGGACUUAGCCCACGGCCUUGUCCAAAGACCCAACAGCCCAUGGCCUCAUGGCCGGACCUCACAGCCCACCACUGACCCAGACCCGGACCAUCGGCCUAAAGCUCGGACAGUCCGUCUAGCUGAGAUGAGCUGACUCUCAGCUGCCUCAGCUGAGUGAGCUAGUAGUCCAGCUAGUGGAUCUGACUUAGUAGGGACUGAGCUGGAGUGAACUGAACCUAACUUCAUUGAGCUGGCCGAGCUACUCGUUCACUUCGUCCUGUUACCGUCUUACUCGUCCUAGCUGUCUCCUAGCUUGUAUAAGGUUAAGUCUAAGUUUCCUUAUGUCCUUAACCUUCUUUCUCGACCAUGGAAUGCUUGCCUUGAUGUUCUAAGACUGGCUUGCACGCUUUCUCGAACCAUGGCCGUCCCAACAAUCCUAUUCAGGAUUGGGGGCGUGACAAUGAGUACUCUGAUAUUUGACUAGUCAGGUCUAACACAACGUUAGGUCAUAGUACGGGUUGAAAAGCCUUAGGCCUCAAUCAACGGAAAACGCUAACUUUAGGUACGGGUUGCAAAGCCUUGUGCCUUGACGCAGCGGGACAGUUAGUGGAUGAACUGUUCUAGGUCGUGGAGUAAAUUUUGUUACUCUGACCGGAUCGUCCCUAGCCCGUCACGUAGCGCUUCUGGACCAUGGUGUUGGGUUGGACGGUCAGUCAUGUUCUUGCUUGAUUGUUGGCUGGCCGGUUGGCUCAAUCAUCUCCAACCCUGGGUGUUGGACAGUCGAUCGGUCAUGUUCUUGUUUGAUUGUUGGCCGGUUGAUCGACCAUACGUCUAGGACGGUUUGGGGGUGUAACAGUCGGGGGCAUUCGUAUUUCAUAGUCAGAGGUGAAAUUCUUGGAUUUAUGAAAGACGAACAACUACAAAAGCAUUUGACAAGGAUGUUUUCAUUAAUCAAGAACGAAAGUUGGGGGCUCGAAGACGUUUAGAUACCGUCCUAGUGUCAACCAUAAACGAUCCCGACCAGGGAUCAUCGGAUGUUGCUUUUAGGACUCCGCUGGCACCUUAUGAGAAAUCAAAGUUUUUGGGUUCCGGGGGGAGUAUGGUUGCAAGGAUGAAACUUAAAGGAAUUGACGGAAGGGCACCACCAGGAGUGGAGCCUGCGGCUUAAUUUGAUUCAACAUGGGGAAACUUACCAGGUUCAGAUAUAGUAAGGAUUGACCGAGAGAGAGCUCUUUCCUGAUUCUAUGGGUGGUGGUGCAUGGCCGUUCUUAGUUGGUGGAGCAAUUUCUCUGGUUAACUCAAUUAACGAACGAGACAUCAGCCUGCUAACUAGCUACAUGGAGGCAUCCCUUCACGGCCGGCUUCUUAGAGGGACUAUGGCCGUUUAGGCCAAGGAUGUUUGAGGCAAUAACAGGUCUGUGGUGCCCUUAGAUGUUUUGGGCCGCACGCGCGCUACACUGAUGUAUUCAACGAGUUCACACCUUGGCCAACAGGCCCGGGUAAUCUUUCAAAUUUCAUCGUGAUGGGGAUAGAUCAUUGCAAUAUUUGGUCUUCAACGAGGAAUUCCUAGUAAGCGCGAGUCAUCAGCUCGCGUUGACUAUGUCCCUGCCCGUUGUACACACCGCCCAUCGCUCCUACCGAUUGAAUGAUCCGGUGAAGUGUUUGGAUCAUGGCGACGUGGGUGGUUUGCCGCCUACGACGUCGCGAGAAGUCCACUAAACCUUAUCAUUUAAAGGAAGGAGAUGUCGUAACAAGGUUUCCGUAGGUGAACCUGCAGAAGGAUCAUUG